AUGAAGUCACCUGAAUCUCAAUUUAGAGAAUGUCUGGUGUUAAAUGAAGAUGUGUCGGAAAAAAGUGCGACAUAUCCCUAUGAUUUACACCUAACACCCUCCAAAAAUGUUGCGGAAUGUGCGAAUGACGUAGGCUCAUUAGACAUUAUCAAAUCUCUAAAAACAAGUACUCCAUCUUCAGUUUCGAAAAAUGUAUCUGUUUGCGCAUGUCCCUCUCAACGAGUAAUGGAAUUUGAAAUCGGAGAACAAUCAGUUGGCAUAUCUAUCUCUCAGCAGGAAAGCAUCGCUAAAGCUGCAGAGCAGCCAAUUUGUGAACCCGCCUCAGUCUUAGAAUCAUCCUCAAAGACAAAGCAGAGUGAAAUUUCCUUAUCAGAUACAGAUAGAGAACAAGACACAGAGCCAGAAAUUACAGAGCCAGAGAUUACAGAAAGAGAUACAGAGCCACUGUCUGAAACUCAGUCAAAGAUCAACGCACGUGAAGAAAUUCAGACAGAAACGCCUGCAUCAUCUCAACUUCAAUCAGAAAUCAUACUCAACGCGAACCCUGAGACAAUUGCCGUUUCUUUUGUUGACCACCUUGCGCAGCAAAAUCAUGAAAACUGCUCUGUUGAAAUUCAGAAUAAAGUCACCAGGGAAAGUGUUAGUGAACCAACAACCUCCAGGUCUCAAACAGAGCUGCUAUCUACAACCAAAACUGAUAUUAUUAGUAGGUUAAGACCUGACUUGCCUAACUCAAAUACUGAUUCCUCUUGUGUUGAAUCACCAAAGAAUCCUCCCUCAGACUUUCUGUCACAAAGUGACAUGCCCGUCGAAAGUGAAGCAUUGCAAACGAUUUUACCCAUUAUUACGAAUAAGGCUCAGCAAAUAGAAAAUUCUUGCCUAAAAGCAAACGUGCUUGCUGAAACUCAGCCAGAUCACCCAGCAACUCUCAGCAAAGUGAGUGAGACCAAAUUGAUCGCUUCAUCAGAAUCCAAAGUUUUAGUCGAAAGUCUGACCGAGGCUGCCCCACUAAAAUCGACUGCGGUUACAACUGCAUCAGAAGAGUCCUCAAGUAAUUUACAGCCACCUACAUCAGAAAACCUCAUCAAAUUUCAGCUUGAGUCCGCACCAUUAAUUAGUACUGAAACAAAUGAGACGUCAGCCGUUCAAUCCCAAUCGAGAGAAUCAUCACUUGAAGAAAUUUCAGACACUCCACCGGCCCAACCUGCCCAUAAGGUGAACAAUAGGACUUUGUCAAAGGAAAGUGUCGUUCUUCCUUCAGUCUUCCAGGAAAGUACCAUCGCUGCCUCUAAACAGUCGUCUAUCACCCAAGAUUGCCAUACUGUGCGUUUAGAGCCGAAACUGGGACUAAAUUCAGUGGCCAAGGAAGAAUUAAUGGAACCUCCUGUUGCAGGACCAUCAACAAUAUCGGCUCAUUUUGCAUCAAGUGCUGAGCUAGAAACUGCAGAAACUUUGCAACAACUUUUAAAUGCAACUGAACUGCAAGUUGGAAGUAUAGAAAUAGAUCAAUUUUCCAAGAAUGAGAACAAGAACCUAGACCCAGAAAACCAAACCACUAUGGAGCUAGGACCAGCCAUAAAUGAGCAGUCAUCCACAGAAGUUACUGGGCAUCUUGAGACGAUGGAAAAUGAUGCCAAUGUUGAAUUUGAACCUUUUCAGUCAAGUGUUACUGAGCCUGAAAACCCUCUGCAUUCCGCUAACAUCAAUUUAAAUCGCGCCUUAGUAGAAACUUCCUGUUGCGAUGCGAAUGUUGAUCAUUCAGAACACUCCUCCGCAGUUAUUAAAGAACCCUCGAGUGAAAGCACUGCAAACAUCUCAGAAAAUCAGCUGCCAUCGGUUAAUUCAGAUUCAGAGAGUGCGAAGACUAAGAACCUAUCGAUGGAAACUCCCAACUUUGAAGCUAGCACUGAUACUGAAGAAUUAUUUGUCAACAUUGAAGCAGAAAUUACGUGCAACAGUAUCACAAAAGCCUCUGAAAAUUCGGAACUCCUCACUACAAACCAUUCCAAAUUUGUCGAGCCUGAAUCCACAAAUAUGUUUGAAAAUCCUGUUUGUCUAUCUAGAACAAAAACUGAUGAGAAAUGCGGGAGUGCUCUAGAUGCUGAUAUUCGCGAAGAAACUGAUUUUCCAAAGCCAGAAACCAAAUCGGACACGGGUACUCCCACGGUAUCAAAUUUUGUUGAAAAUCCACGUGCUUCACCCGAAGAAACGCAGGAGUCGCUGAAGAGAACCGAGACGAUUGCAGAAACCAACACAUCCCAAAUCAACUCCCCAGCCAAUUCGCAAGACGAGUUUACAGCGCAUAAUGUGGAUGUUUCUGAAAAUACUUUCGUGAAGAAACUCAUUGCUCCAAGCAUUGAGAUGAAUGUCGAAGGAUCCCCUCCUUCAGUACAUGACGAUGCUGAACUUGCAUUUUCAGUUUCAGAUUCGGCUCAUCGAGAAGUGGAUCUUCAGUCUCCGAUCGUUGUGCAGAAAGAACAAGAUGCUUUUCAGAAAUCACAUAAUAAAAGUUCUGUCCCUGCUACAUGUUCAGAAUCAUUUAAAGAAAUUCCCGAUGAUCAAAAAAGCGAACUCUACUCUUCUUUAAGAUCUCCAUCAGAAUCACCGCGAGAAAAUUCUUUUAUCAGUUCUGACAGUCAAUUAAACCCGAGUGAAGAAUGCCCAAGUAUCCUCUCACAGACUGCCGGACAAUCAGAAUUAAAUGCGAAGACCAGCUCCAGCACUCCUCUCUAUGAUCCUGAAAUUGACACUGUCUCUUCAAAUAUCUCUACCGAGCAACGCUAUUCAAAUGUUGAAGAUCGUCCUCCCUUCAAUAUCUCAUUCGAUUCCUCUCAAGUCUCGUCGCAAGAGCCUCUUACCGCCUCUCAGCAGCUAGUCUCGGAAAGUUUACUUAAUGAAGCAGUUUUAGAAAAUGAGACUCUUCCUAAGGCUGUCAAAUCAGGCGAAAUGAUGACAGACUUUACUGCAGACUCGGUUACAAUACCUGAUGAGGAUGUGUCGAUAACCAGACCAUCGAGUGAUUCUAAAAUUGAGCCAUGUACAUCACUUAAUCACGGAGAGCAAUCCAAAAAUCUGACUUCUAGUCUAUUCGAUGUCCAAAUUGAAUCAGAAUCUGAGCUGAAUAUCCAUGCAGUUCCCAUUCAAGUCAAAACAGAGACUGAUUUAGAAAUAUCUGCGUCAGAAACAUCAUUUAAGUCAAAUGAUGAAUCAGAAACAUCAAUCGUUCUGAAUGAAGCUCGACAAGAAACUGAGAAGACUGUCACAACUAGCAAUGAUCGCAACUCUCCCAAUUCUGCAUCGAUUAUAUCUGAUGAUGCAAAUCAAUUUUCAUCAGAAGCAAGUACCAUUCUCUCUGAAGCUCUGAUCGAACAUAAAAAUGAAUCGGACGUUUCUGAGAAUUCAAGCAAUAUUUCAUCUUUUGAGAAUCAAGGAAAAAGUCCUUUCGUUGAAAUUCCGGUGUCAUCGAGAAUUGAAAUGGACAUUGCAGUAUUAGCGGAAGACACUCAGCUAGGAGGUCAAACUGCAUCAUCUCCCAUCGAAAGUUCAUUAAAUGUUGACCGUCAACCGAACAUCUCAGAAGUCCCUGCCAACAUUCAGUCGGAAAAUGAAACAGAAAGUUUGCCUUUUACAUCUCAAGUGGAAACCAGAUCUGAAUCAGCUUCUACAUUCAUAUCAGAUGAUCAUCAGUUGAUGAGGAACUCUGAGUCAACUAUCGGAAAUGUUCAAACCCUUUUCGAAAAAGAGCCGCAAUCAAGACCACAAAGUCCUCUUUCUGAAACUGAGGUAAAACUAGAAAGUGAACUGACAAUCAAUCUCAUUGCAAGUGAUCCUCCAAGGAAAAAUUCAUCACGAACUACCUCCACCGAAGUUCUGGUCCAAAUAGAGACCUCACCAAACUUAACUCAGCUUUCCAUUAAUGUCCCAUCAGAAGAACAGACCGAGAAGUCUUCCAAUGACGCUCGAGUUGAAUUACGAAGCGAAGUAGAGAUCUCAGAUACUGGUGUCAUCAAAGACGACUCUCGACAAAGCAAGGAAACACUUAUCACCACUGUGAUAGUUGCAGAAAGGAAAAAUAAUGAGACGGACAGCUUUGAAAGUUUAAGUAAGUCUGAGUCUGAAGAUUCAAUUAUUUCUAGCAACAUUGUAGCUGAAUGUUCAUCAAAAUGUUCUCUUGUUGAGGUUCCAAAUGAAACGGAAUCAGGAUUAUGUACCUCCAUGAUUUCUGCUCCCAUCCAGCCUGAAAGUAUCGAGCAAACCUGUCUUGCUGAAACUCAAGGGGAAUCAGACGGUGAAUUAGAUGUAUCGUCAGUUGAGAGUCAGAAUCCACUUGUGAAACAAGGGGAAAUCCCAUCUCGUAAAAUUAUUGACGAGCCAGUGUUAGGCAUGCUGCCGGACACAGUGCAGUCAGUAGGAAGUGAAGACUCGGGUGGAGAAAUAGGUAUACCUCCUACUAAACCACUAGGAUCCUUUGAAUCAGCCCCAACUAACAAUAUGAAAACAGGAGAACAAGUUGAAAUCUCCCUAACAGAAAAUUCUGCAUCAAAAAAGGGAAGGUCUAAGAUCGACUCAUCGGUUCUUAAUCAUGAUACAACAGACACAGACAAUGAUGUCCAAACGGAAUUUUCUCUGACGUUGGACUCUUCAGUAUUUGUCGCUGAAAGCUGUCAUGCCGACUCAUUAACAAUUGACCAAGAAGAGUCGAAAGAACCAGUCAAACCAUCGAGUGUGCCUGACGCUAAAGAAGCUGUGGAAGAAAGCUCUCAGAUAAUAUUAGCCCCAGAAGAUCUCCUAGAUUCGACACAACCAGCGAAUGUAUCCUCGAUGCCGGAUGAUAUAAUGUCAGCAGAAGAAAACACCGAAGUUCCAAUUAAUUCACUUCCAACUAACAAUUUGAAGACACAACCAUCAGUUGAAGUUUCUUCUGCUCACGAUGUUCUGCUAUCUUCAGAAAAAUCAUGUUCACUCAAAUUACCGACACUAAUUGAAAGCGAGAAGGAUCAGGUAGUGACGAAUUCAAUCAUACCAGAGGAUGAAUUAUCUGAGGAGAGUUUUUCUCUGAUUAGACCACAAGCAACUGAUAGAAUGAAGGUUGAUCAGCCAGUUGAAGAUAUUCCUGCACCAUGUGAUUCAGAAGUUGUGGAAUCGGGUUCUCAGAUCAUAUUGCAGUCGACAAAUAGUCCAAAGGCAGAGGAACCAAUCAGCAUCUUAUCCGCUCCACUUGCUUCAGCCUCUUUGGAUGGGAGCUCUCCUACAAAACGACAAUUCACUGAUGAGGUGGAGCCGAAGCAGUCUACCAAAAUAACUUCCCCAAAUACUUUAGCAGAGAUCGAAGUAAGCUCUAUAUCCAAACUAGCUGAAACCAGCGAAUUAAAAAGAGAUUUAUCGGCCGAAAGUAGUGAUGUGGCAGAAAAAUCUGUUGAAACUUCAUUCGUAUCGGUCAUCUUAAAGGCCGAGGAGAAAAAUUCUCUAGUCAACCGUAUGCCACCAGAUGUUUCAACAGAAAAAUGGCCCAUGCAUAAUUCUGAUGGAGCCGCGUCAGUGCUUUCUGAGGAUCAUAUCCCGACUGGAACAUCGGUAGUUGAUGAAGAAAAAGCAGAGCAAACAGUCAAAGUCUCCUGCCCUUCGGAUUCUUUCAACUACAAUAAACCAGCGGAAACCGCAUCAGACACUUCAGCUCCGGUAGAUGUUGGUGAGCAGUCAAAAACACUCCCAGCGGAUGGUGUUGAGACGAAACAGCCCGUUGAACUUCCACUAAUUUUAGACCCCGCAGCACUUCUCGCGGAAAGCAGCCAUGCCGACCUAUCGACAAUUAACAAAGAAGAGUCGAAAGAACCAGACAAACCAUCGGGUAUGUCUAGCGCUAAAAAAUCCUUAGAAGAAAGCGCUGAGAUAAUAUCGGCCUCAAAAGAUCUUAUAAAUUCUACACAACCGGCAAAUUCCUCCUCCAUGCCGGAUGAUAAAACAUCAUCAGAAGAAAACAGGGACGUUGAAUCACUACCAACUAAUGAUUUGAAGACACAACCCUCGGUUGAAAUGUCUUCUGCUCAUGAUGUCCCGAUAUCAUCAGAAAAAGCAUGUCCAAUCAAAUUACAGAAAUUAAUUGAAGGCUAUGUAAAUCAGCCUGUAAAUGAAUCAACCAUGCCAGAGGAUGAAACAUCUGUGGAUGAUGUUGCUUUGAUCAGACCACAGGCUACUGAUGGGAUGAAAAUUGACUCAGAAUUUGUAGAUUCAGGUUCUCGCAUCACAGGAAAGUUAACUGACAGUUUAGACGCCGGCAUAUCCACCAGCAUCUCAUCAUCUACACUUGCUUUGACAUCUUUCAAUAGAAGCUCACCAUCGAAACCACAACCCACUGAUGAAGUGGAGGUAGAUCAGUGCAUCAAAAUAUCUUCUGUCGACACUUCAAAGGAAGUUGAAGUAAGCUCGGUAACCAAACCAGCUGAAAUCUGUGAACUAAAAACAGAUCAAUUGGCUGAAAGUAGCGAUGUGAUGGCAGAAAAAUCUUUUGAUACUUCAUCUACAUCAGAUAUCUCAGUGACCGAGGAGAAAAACUCACAAAUAAACGUAAUAUUUCAGACCCCAUCUCAGUCAGCUGAUACCACCGGAGCUCGUCAACUUACCGAAUCUCUCUCCUCUCCAAUCUCCCCUACAUCUGCGCAGGAAGGCUCAUCGGCAGAACAGCCGAGGAACUUGCAUCAUCCCAUUAAAACACGUGAGACCAAUAGUUCAGAUACCUCCUGCUUAACAGUAAUGUCUAAUUUGGUUGCAGAAAAAUCGGAAAAAGUUUGGAAGAAACCUACACCGCUCUCUCCCGAUACAGAAAAUGCUACACCCACAAACGUUUUAAGUCUGAUGUAG
RNAcentral lists this long non-coding RNA (6858 nucleotides) under Bemisia tabaci. RNAcentral describes it as "lncRNA ENSASIAIIG006258". The record is from RNAcentral. Lineage: Eukaryota; Metazoa; Arthropoda; Insecta; Hemiptera; Aleyrodidae.